Long non-coding RNA from Malus domestica (apple), 596 nucleotides. RefSeq lists it as uncharacterized. NCBI's taxonomy places the organism in Eukaryota, Viridiplantae, Streptophyta, Magnoliopsida, Rosales, Rosaceae. The record is from RefSeq and is a predicted model, not a curated record.
CAACUAAGAGGAACGGCCAAUGGACAAAAGUACCCUCGUCAAACAAUCCAGCUCAUGAGAUUUCCCAGGGCAUUAUUGUAAAAACGUACAUAUAGAACCAUCAAACUGUCUCCUCCGUUCAUUCUUCUGCUCAUCCACCCACGCCAAAACCCUCAACCGUGAACUUCUCCCAUCUUUGCUGUCUAUUUGUAAGAAGCGCCGCCAUGCUUACGAGUCGGACAAUUCCAGAUUCUGUUCACACCGUUUCCAGGCAUCUCCAAUUCAUUUAGCUGGAAGGCAAUUUUACAUUAAGAGUGGAGCCCAAACAAUGCUGGAUGAUUAAGAUCUUUAUGAUUAAUUUCAUUAUUCUUAUGAUUAAGAUCUUUGAUUAAUUUCAUUAUCCUUAUGAUUAAGAUCUUUGAUGUGGCAAAUUAAGAGUGGAGCCCAUACAGUGCUUAAUUUCAUUAUCCUUAUGAUUAAGAUCUUUGAUGUGGCAAAUUUAAUGAUGUCAUACUAUGGCUGCAUGAUGAAAUUCUUAAAUAAUAUGUGUUAGAAUGACAUGAUUGUAAGGGAAUGUAUAAAAUAUGUUGGGUGAAGUCCUGGAGAUGGCACUUAUA